Molecule: long non-coding RNA, 853 nt
Organism: Panicum virgatum (switchgrass)
Lineage: Eukaryota; Viridiplantae; Streptophyta; Magnoliopsida; Poales; Poaceae
Exons: 2
Source: RefSeq, a predicted model, not a curated record
GUACAGCAACCCGUCCGUCCACAGUCGUAUCCAGGCGUACACAGAGAUGGGAAGACAGGUCCAUGGGCCAGACUGGGAUCCGAGGACCCAGCCCCUUGAUGGAGAAGUCAUUAUGAUGGCGGGAGGAGGCAAGAAACAUGGGCGCUACUAUAUUGGCGACGGCCUUGUAGACACAGCCAGCACUCCCACCCUCUCCCAGAUUCGAGCGAGGAGCACGGCCAAUAGCUCGGCCAUACGCCCACGGCUGUCCGCGUCGCAGCUCCAAGUGCAGGAAAUUCAGGUUAUUUCUUAUUUAUUCAUAGUUCGUUCGUUUUGUACAUAUAUUUGAUUUGCAUUGUAACAUUGUCAUGAAAUAUUGUAGAACCAAAUGCUAGCGCAAAAAGCGGCAUACGAGGUGGCGUUGGCCGAAGAGAGGAGAUUACGACAAGAGAACGAUCAGAAGCAGGCGGCCGAAAUGGCCCAGAUGUACAACUACAUUCGAAGUCUUUUUGUCCAAAUGGGUAAUCCCAUCCCAGCCUUCCCUCUGGUUACUGCUCCUACUACUCCUCCGAAUCUAUCGGUGGCAUCGAAUACGCCAGACUUGUCGCCGGGCAUCUCACCGACGCUCUCACAGCAGUUGUUCCCACCUCAGUUCGGCGGCCCACCACCGUUCGACGACCCACCACAGCCAUAAACUUGUUUAUUUCAAUAUUUAUGGACUUGUGAGCUUCUGGAUAUGUAUUUGUGAACUUCUGGAUAUGUUGUGAACUUGCAGGACUUUGCAUUGGACUUCUGGAUGUGUUUGAAGUUAUUUGUGGCUAGUUGUGAUAUAUAUAUUGUGAUAUAUAGUGCCUGUGACGUUUGUUGUGAUAUA